GAGUAACACGUAAGCAACCUACCCUAAAGACGAGGAUAACCAUUGGAAACAGUGGCUAAGACAGGAUAGGAAGAUAAAAGGCAUCUUUUAUCUUUUAAAAGACCUAGUAAUAGGUAUGCUUUAGGAGGGGCUUGCGCCAUAUUAGUUAGUUGGUAGGGUAAUGGCCUACCAAGACGAUGAUGUGUAGCUGGACUGAGAGGUUGAACAGCCACAUUGGGACUGAGACACGGCCCAAACUCCUACGGGAGGCAGCAGUAGGGAAUUUUCGGCAAUGGAGGAAACUCUGACCGAGCAACGCCGCGUGAAUGACGAAGUACUUCGGUAUGUAAAGUUCUUUUAUCAAGGAAGAAAAGCAAAUGGCGAACCAUUUGUUUGCCGGUACUUGAUGAAUAAGCCCCGGCUAAUUAUGUGCCAGCAGCCGCGGUAAGACAUAAGGGGCAAGUGUUAUCCGGAAUUAUUGGGCGUAAAGGGUGCGUAGGCGGUCUAGUAAGUCAGUGGUGUAAUGGCAACGCUUAACGUUGUCCGGCUAUUGAAACUGCUAAACUUGAGUUAGAUAGAGGCGAGUGGAAUUCCAUGUGUAGCGGUAAAAUGCGUAAAUAUAUGGAGGAACACCAGAGGCGUAGGCGGCUCGCUGGGUCUUAACUGACGCUGAGGCACGAAAGCGUGGGGAGCAAACAGGAUUAGAUACCCUGGUAGUCCACGCCGUAAACGAUGAGUACUAAGUGUCGGGUUAAACCGGUACUGAAGUUAACACAUUAAGUACUCCGCCUGAGUAGUACGUACGCAAGUAUGAAACUUAAAGGAAUUGACGGGACUCCGCACAAGCGGUGGAUCAUGUUGUUUAAUUCGAAGAUACCCGAAAAACCUUACCAGGUCUUGACAUGUUUUUGCAAAAUGAUAGUAAUAUCGUGGAGGUUACCAGAAACACAGGUGGUGCAUGGUUGUCGUCAGCUCGUGUCGUGAGAUGUUAGGUUAAGUCCUAAAACGAGCGAAACCCUUAUCGUUAGUUGCCAGCACGUUAUGGUGGGGACUUUAACGAGACUGCCAAUGAUAAAUUGGAGGAAGGUGAGGAUCACGUCAAAUCAGCAUGCCCCUUAUGACCUGGGCUACAAACGUGAUACAAUGGCUGUUACAAAGGGUAGCUGAAACGCAAGUUCUUGGCCAAUCCCCAAAAACAGUCCCAGUCCGGAUUGAAGUCUGCAACUCGACUUCAUGAAGUUGGAAUCGCUAGUAAUCGCGAAUCAGCAUGUCGCGGUGAAUACGUUCUCGGGGUUUGUACACACCGCCCGUCAAACCACGAAAGUUGGCAAUACCCCAAAACGGUAGCCUAACUCGUUUAUUCGAGAGGGCGCCGUCUAAGGUAGGGUCGAUGAUUGGGGUUAAGUCGUAACAAGGUAUCCCUACCGGAAGGUGGGGAUGGAUCACCUCCUUUCU
RNAcentral lists this ribosomal RNA (1434 nucleotides) under 'Pelargonium capitatum' phytoplasma. Its description in RNAcentral is "16S ribosomal RNA". It matches the Rfam family "Bacterial small subunit ribosomal RNA". The record is from RNAcentral. Lineage: Bacteria; Bacillati; Mycoplasmatota; Mollicutes; Acholeplasmatales; Acholeplasmataceae.